Long non-coding RNA from Camelina sativa (false flax), 574 nucleotides. RefSeq lists it as uncharacterized. NCBI's taxonomy places the organism in Eukaryota, Viridiplantae, Streptophyta, Magnoliopsida, Brassicales, Brassicaceae. The record is from RefSeq and is a predicted model, not a curated record.
UUAGAAAUGUAUGAGACACACUUAAUUCACUAUAUAAACUACACGUUCUUUCUUUGGUUUUUAAUAUGAAAAUUUUAAAACACUAUUAAAUAUUUAAGUUUUCUAAAAAACAAAAGAAAAAACAAAAAACACUAUUGAUCCAUUUAUAUCAAACAUGAUGAAAAAAUCCUGUCAACUUUCAUUCACCGUUCUUAUUGUCUUCACAGUUCUUCUGCUAGGAGUGAAAGGUUGGGAUUUUGCAAAUAAAUGUGGUGUUGUUUUAAGCUAUACUGGUUGUACGCCACAAAAUUGUAAGAGUUUGUGUUCCAAGAGUCAUUCACACGCACGCCCACAUUGUGUUGUUUCACCUGGUGGACCAUAUGUAGGGCAUAAGCAAUGUGCAUGCAGCUGGGAUUGCUAAUCAAUUAUAAUAACAGUAAAUUUCUAAUUAUAAUAAUAUUAAGAACUUAACAAAGAAAUAAUACAAUAUUUGAAGUGGACAUCUAGCCAAACAUAUGUAUUAGUGUUGAUGUCAAGUUGUAAUCUAAUAAAUUUGUAAUUAUGGUAAUAUAAGCUUUCAUGCAGGUUUUGACUA